Molecule: long non-coding RNA, 1465 nt
Filed under: Equus asinus (donkey)
Lineage: Eukaryota; Metazoa; Chordata; Mammalia; Perissodactyla; Equidae
Description: lncRNA (ENSEASG00005031506.1)
Source: RNAcentral
ACCAGAAUCGGGAAGCCAGCGAGCACACAGGAAGGCUGAGUGGUGGCAGUGGUGGUGAUGGGGUGUUGGGCUCAGCCAUCAGAGGUUGGGGUGGUGGGAGGUACAGGAGAUGGGGUGUAGGAGAGAGAGGAAGAGAGUCAUCUAUCAACAUCUCAUUGUCGUCUCAACCCAUCAGGGCAGGCAGGUCACUGACAUCUACACCUUUUAUGUCUGCUGCCUCCAUGUCCAAGGUCAAGGUUCAUCAUCUGCUGUGGUUGAUGUGGCUGAUGCAAAAGCUUGAAAUAUGAUGGUAUGCUUGACUGCUUAACCUUAUAACGCUUUGAUACAAAACAAACGCUGAACGCUAUUUUCGUUUUUCUCCUUUUUCUGUAAAAGCAAAAAUCCUCUUCGAAUUCCUUUCAUUUAGCAAAAACAGGCACUAAUGUAGGUCUCUAGUAAAAGCAAAGUGGCGUAAAGCAAACUUUCAGACAGCAGGGGAAACCUGUAUUUAACUACCUUCUCUCAGCCCCUACAUCCCACACAUUCUCCUCCAUAAAAUCAGCUAGAAUUCUCCGCGUGGGAAGGAAGGGAGAUGGGGAGGAAGAGAGACUCGCACCUGAGAAGCCAUAUCAGAAUAUCAAUAGCACGUGUGGCAGUUUCCCACCAUGUGAUUCUGAUCAAGCAUCCCUGCCACGGGUUGACUCCCAGCCCCCUGCUGAGAGUGUCCCUGUCACAGAGGUUUAUUCCAGUGGAGGAUUUGGACAUUCAGAGAUUUAGCUGAAAUGCAUGUGAAUAGAUUACUACUAAGAGAUUUACUUUGAAAUAUUUUGAGAGUAACUCUCCUGAGAUGCUGAAAACACUUCAACCUCGACAUUUCGGUAAAAAGAGUUUUUCUCUUCAUAAUGGCACAAAGUGGAAGCAAUGGACUCAAAAUAACCCAGGAGGCCUGGAACACAUGGGGAAUAUAAAAUAUUGAUUUGGAAGGCUGGAAGGGCUGCCUUAAGAGCAGGUAUCAGAUAAUCAUGGAAAAGAUGAAGCAAGAAGACAAUCCACCAGCCUCUAGGUCCAUUGGUUCAACAUCAGGUUCUGCAGCUAUGAUAGACUUGCUGGCUCAACUCUGCAUUAUUGCCACUCUGGGACCCUGAGCUUCACAGACUCCUUCCUGAUCGCUGAGCAAUCUCACAGAUGUGGCCCAGCGUCCAAGAUGGUACAGAUACAAACAGAAAGCUGACCACAUUUCAGAGUCCCAAAUAAGGAGCAAGAUGACACCUUCCACUGCCCCGUAUCCCUCCCUACAUUCUCCACUCCCAAACCUACUGGUACUCUCUGACUUAUCUCACACCCUCUAGACUUUAGCUUGGACAGAAGAAACCCUUCUUCUUACUUUCUUGGCAAUCUCUAAAAAAAUUCUCAGGCCAGGAAAGGGUAUCGUACUGCCUGUAGUUUAUAUCCUUCUCCCUGUGUCAUUAAGAACCAUCUUGUGGCU